Molecule: non-coding RNA, 66 nt
Organism: Halosimplex carlsbadense 2-9-1
Lineage: Archaea; Methanobacteriati; Methanobacteriota; Halobacteria; Halobacteriales; Haloarculaceae
Source: Rfam
GGUGGGAACGCACGACCGCAAAUCUGACUCGCUGUGCGCUUGCACAGCUCGGGAUUGCGGCCGUGU